CAGGUUCUGCAAAUGCUCAGUCUUGAGUUCAACCUGUGAGGGCAAGACUAAGUCUAGAUUGAUAUUUUGAAAAUGGGCCCUUCUACUGUGCCGCGUUGCCCUCACCAUGUCAACCUAGCCAUCCUCUCAAGGCUCCUUCUGUUGGGGAGGGGAAAAAACUUUUUUUUUCCAGGUUAGCUGUCUGUAGUAAGUAAUCAGAGGUCCUCCCGGGAUGGUUUUAAGUUUAUGCCUUUAGUUUAUACUUUGUUCUCAUUUUCACUUGCUCAUCUGGGUUUUUGUUUUGGUUUGCUGUUGGGUGAGUCUCAGACCUCAUACCUCUAAAGCCUACCUCCCCUUUUCAUUUUAGUCUUCCAUGUGAUGCACUAGUAAUGCAUUUGCUUUCUAACCCAGAAGUCAUGAGUUUGACUCCAAUAGCAGGCAAUGUUUAUUUUGUGCAUUUUUGGAGAAUACUUUUUCAGUUUGAAACAUUCCUCCAUAACCUCUGCAGAGUAUGUUGGCUUGAGCUUAAUAUAUCUUUCCCUUUUUGCUGGUUUCUGUUCAGCCUCCUUAUCUGAUCUGCACUUGGGUUCUAUCUAUUAAGUUUUGGUUGUGGCUCACUCAGUUUGCUCAGGUCUCCAGUAUACUGUGGCCUGGGUUGAAUGUGGUGUGGGGUGGGUCACCACAUCAUGCAUACACAAUGACAAAGAAAUCAAUGUUAAAUCACUGAUUUGUACAGAAACGUGUUUUGCAAUAGCCUCUGGUAUUCCAAUUACAUUAAUAUUGUGAUGCAUUUAUGUAUGUUUUAAAUAGGCUUUUCCUGAAGAACUGAAGGACUGAGUUUUCUAGGAGUUUGUUUGGAUUCACGCUGAAAUUGCCUGUCAUUUUUUAUAUAAUGUUAAGAGCUGCAAACAAUAAGCAGAAAAAGGGGCUGCUUAAUUGUACACGAAGACAUCAAUCGGGGUCUUUAAGGAAACAGCUGAAUGGUGCUUCUAUGCCAGACGUCAUGUCUAUCCAUGGUCUUUACUGACAUGUCAGCCAGACACAGAAUGUGUUCUUCCUGAUAAUGAGUGGUGGUGUGAGCUAGAGGGACUUGCUGUGUAUUUAAAAAUUGUGGCCUUCGAAUGUGUGUAAUGAAAGUGUAAAGUUAGCUAUAUAACUUUGUGAUGUACACCCAUGAGUCAUAACUGUUUAACAUUUGGUCCUCCACUAUGCUUGUUAAACCUGGUACUAUACUAGCUACUAUAGACUAAUUGGGCACAUGCAGUAUGGUAAUUAAUCACUGGUCAAAAACUAAUUACAUGCAUCUUUGCUGAUGAACAUUGUUUAUUCAGUGUGACAUGCUGUCAGUGUAUAAGAUGAAGCAUUUUUAAAAGUAUUUAUGUAAAAUCCCACCCCCUCCUAAAAAAAUGAAUAUUUUUUUCAAUAACACUUAAUAAAAAAAAAUACUUUCCUUUAAUGGCCAAACAGAUUAAACAUGUAAACAAGAACAGUAUUUAAAACCUUCUGUACAAUAAUGAUUCAUUGCAUGUUAAUGCUAAUUUGUAUUGUAUGCACUGCUACCUUUGAGAAUAAAUGUAAUGUACUAUGUAACCCUGAAGUAUAUGGAUUUUUAUCAUAUACGUGUGGAAACUCAACUGUAUUGCAUCUGAAAAUGUUUCUUCUACUUCGAAUCAUUUACUUGAC
Long non-coding RNA from Ictalurus punctatus (channel catfish), 1662 nucleotides. NCBI's taxonomy places the organism in Eukaryota, Metazoa, Chordata, Actinopteri, Siluriformes, Ictaluridae. The record is from Ensembl.